UACGUAGGUGGCAAGCGUUGUCCGGAUUUACCGGGCGUAAAGAGCGCGCAGGCGGUCGUUCAAGUCGCGUGUGAAAGCCCCCGGCUCAACUGGGGAGGGUCACGCGAUACUGAUCGACUCGAAGGCAGGAGAGGGAAGUGGAAUUCCCGGUGUAGUGGUGAAAUGCGUAGAUAUCGGGAGGAACACCAGUGGCGAAGGCGACUUCCCGGCCUGUUCUUGACGCUGAGGCGCGAAAGCUAGGGGAGCAAACGGG
This 253-nucleotide ribosomal RNA is filed under the name uncultured bacterium. Its description in RNAcentral is "partial 16S ribosomal RNA". It matches the Rfam family "Bacterial small subunit ribosomal RNA", at positions 524 to 776 of the family's 1533-position model. The record is from RNAcentral.